This 610-nucleotide long non-coding RNA is filed under the name Equus asinus (donkey). RNAcentral describes it as "lncRNA (ENSEASG00005032642.1)". Lineage: Eukaryota; Metazoa; Chordata; Mammalia; Perissodactyla; Equidae. The record is from RNAcentral.
AGCCUGAUUUCCACACUGACUCAGCACCGCAGAAACCCUCAGUUCCAGGAAGGAGGCCCGUCUCUCUUCAGUGCUUCCUCCAAAUCAGGCAUGGGAGUCUUGAGUGUGCCUGUUUAAAAAGAUUCCUCGUGGUUUCCAAAGGAUUCGAAGACCUCACCCACUUCAGAAGGGGAGGCUUAACCAUCGCCUUUCUCCCAGCAAUCUGCAGCCCAGAGGCCAGGGUCGAGUCCCCACGCCUGUGUCACACUCUUCUACAUGAGACACCACCACAGCAUGGCCAGAUGAGCAGUGCCAUGUCCACGCCCAGAGUCCGAACCAGUGAACCCUGGACCACUGAAGCAGAGUGCACGAACCCAACCACUGGGCCAUAGGGCCGGCUCCCAUACUUUACCCUUUUAAGAACUCUAAGGGGCAAGAAUUUCCCUAAUCUUUUCCAGAAAAGAAAGCAAGCAAGCAGGCAUGUUUUCUAAAACAAGUUGAGGCUUUUCCCAAGGGGUUUACAGCCCUAGCAUGAACUCCUUCCUCAUUGCUAUUUCUUGGGAGGGCUCCACAGGCCCAUGGAGAGACAGCCAGGCGCACAGUCGGGGGUCCAGUCAUUCAUUGUCACGUG